CAGCCGCCGCGGUAAUACGUAGGGUGCGAGCGUUAAUCGGGAUUACUGGCCGUAAAGCGUGCGCAGGCGGUUAUAUAAGACAGAUGUGAAAUCCCCGGGCUCAACUUGGGACCUGCAUUUGUGACUGUAUAGCUAGAGUACGGUAGAGGGGGAUGGAAUUCCGCGUGUAGCAGUGAAAUGCGUAGAUAUGCGGAGGAACACCGAUGGCGAAGGCAAUCCCCUGGACCUGUACUGACGCUCAUGCACGAAAGCGUGGGGAGCAAACAGGAUUAGAUACCCGUGUAGUCCCUGUCUUUAUACA
This 301-nucleotide ribosomal RNA is filed under the name uncultured bacterium. Its description in RNAcentral is "partial 16S ribosomal RNA". It matches the Rfam family "Bacterial small subunit ribosomal RNA", at positions 509 to 809 of the family's 1533-position model. The record is from RNAcentral.